UGCCAGCCGCCGCGGUAAUACGUAGGUGGCAAGCGUUGUCCGGAUUUACUGGGCGUAAAGAGCGCGCAGGCGGCCAGGUCAGUCGAAUGUGAAAGCCCCCGGCUCAACUGGGGAUGGUCGUUCGAUACUGCUUGGCUCGAAGGUAGGAGAGGGGAGUGGAAUUUCAGGUGUAGUGGUGAAAUGCGUAGAUAUCUGAAGGAACACCAGUGGCGAAGGCGACUUUCUGGCCUAUUCUUGACGCUGAGGCGCGAAAGCUAGGGGAGCGAACGGGAUUAGAUA
Molecule: ribosomal RNA, 279 nt
Filed under: uncultured bacterium
Lineage: Bacteria
Description: partial 16S ribosomal RNA
Rfam family: Bacterial small subunit ribosomal RNA
Source: RNAcentral